Molecule: long non-coding RNA, 211 nt
Filed under: Elaeis guineensis (African oil palm)
Lineage: Eukaryota; Viridiplantae; Streptophyta; Magnoliopsida; Arecales; Arecaceae
Description: long non-coding RNA (EGUI_LNC021177)
Source: RNAcentral
AUCAGGAUUUUUACAUGGCAGCGUCCAAUCCAAUCCAUGAUGUCCCCUGGUGGCCCCGGUGAGUGAUACGCGUCCACUAACCACGAUAGGACGGCCGGGACCGGUCGUUUGCAUCGGCAGGUGGCGGGCAGCCGGGCGCCGUGACCGAAGGAUAUCAGAGGAUAUUCCUGGGAUUAUCCUUGCCGACACUGCCCCUGAAUAGUGAAUACCA